Molecule: long non-coding RNA, 394 nt
Organism: Solea senegalensis (Senegalese sole)
Lineage: Eukaryota; Metazoa; Chordata; Actinopteri; Pleuronectiformes; Soleidae
Exons: 3
Source: RefSeq, a predicted model, not a curated record
AUCAGCUCUGAAGAGAUAAAAACAACAAGUCAAAAAGACAGGCAUGGACAGGACAGGACAACAAAAGUGUGUGUUUACAUACAGACUCUUGGUCUUCUUCCUCAGGUGACGGUUUCUGAACUCUAAGUCCUGAACAAACAAAACAGCAGAGGUUCUAUCAAACUCAGCCUUAAUGUGUACACUUUAUGGCACAAUAUCCUAAUCACUUCUGGUUUCUACUGGUCUGGUCUGGUCUGUUCUUCUAAUGCACUGAUCUGACCUGCUCUGGUUUUGCUUCCCCUAUCACGGUUUGUUCUGGUUCCUACUGCUCUGUCAUUGCAUGAUCUGGUUUGUAUUGUUAUAUCUUGGUUUUGUGUGUGUUGCUAUAAUGGUUUGUUGUGUCUCAACUGCUGUA